AUACGUAGGUGACAAGCGUUAUCCGGAUUUACUGGGUGUAAAGGGCGUGUAGGCGGUUUAGCAAGUCAGAAGUGAAAUUCCCGGGCUUGACUUGGGCGCUGCUUCUGAAACUGCUUUACUUGAGUGCUGGAGAGGAUAGUGGAAUUCCUAGUGUAGCGGUAAAAUGCGCAGAUAUUAGGAGGAACACCGGUGGCGAAGGCGGCUAUCUGGACAGUAACUGACGCUGAGGCGCGAAAGCACGGGGAGCAAACAGGAUUAGAUACCCUGGUAGUCCGUGCCGUAAACGAUGAAUACUAGGUGUAGGGGGUAUCGACUCCCUCUGUGCCGCAGUUAACACAUUAAGUAUUCCACCUGGGGAGUACGGCCGCAAGGUUGAAACUCAAAUGAAUUGACGGGG
This 397-nucleotide ribosomal RNA is filed under the name uncultured bacterium. RNAcentral's name for it is "partial 16S ribosomal RNA". It matches the Rfam family "Bacterial small subunit ribosomal RNA", at positions 523 to 918 of the family's 1533-position model. The record is from RNAcentral.